RNA transcript from Zingiber officinale, 672 nucleotides. RefSeq lists it as uncharacterized. NCBI's taxonomy places the organism in Eukaryota, Viridiplantae, Streptophyta, Magnoliopsida, Zingiberales, Zingiberaceae. The record is from RefSeq and is a predicted model, not a curated record. The transcript is spliced from 5 exons.
CAACUCCUCAUCUCAUGCUUAUCUUCCCGAACCCCUCUCACAACUCCUCAUCUCAUGCCUAUCUUCCCGAACCCCUCUCAUGCCCUCUCCUUCCAACUCCUCCUCUCAUGUCCUCUCCAUCCAACUCCUCUCCAGCAAACCCCUCUCCGUCGAACUCCUCUCCACGAACCUCCUCUCCUCUGAAUUCCUUCACCUCUUCGUCAAAUAGCAAAUGCCCUAAUCACUCCGCUCUUGGAUCGCCGCCUCCGCACUAGAUCUACUCGCCGGUGGUUUCCUCUCCAGAAAUGGCAAAUGCUUGGAUUUCAAGAGCAUCAAAGUAUCGGAGUUCAGUUUGGAAGGUUAGCGACAAACGGCCAGGUUAUAAUGGCAGUGACUCAGAUUCUGAUGAGGAGAAGAUUAACAUCAAAUCAUCAGCAGAAGGACCUGGUUCAUAAGUUUACAGAAGCGGAGUAUUCUCGAGAAGAAAUUGAUGAGGUGCGAUCGGAGUUGGCAGAAUGUAUACAAGAUCAUAUUUAUGAGUAGAUACACAGUGGUAGGUGUUUGUCCCAGUCUCAAGCCGUCAAUCCAUUUUGAUCAAUAUAUCUAGUAGAAGUAACCAUGCAGAUCGUUGUCUUCGAGGUUGUCUAACUAUUUUGUGCUUUUUUUAUUUUAAAUUUGAAUGUCACUAACUAC